This 1127-nucleotide ribosomal RNA is filed under the name Megalohypha aqua-dulces. RNAcentral describes it as "SSU rRNA". It matches the Rfam family "Eukaryotic small subunit ribosomal RNA", at positions 16 to 1153 of the family's 1831-position model. The record is from RNAcentral. Lineage: Eukaryota; Fungi; Ascomycota; Dothideomycetes; Jahnulales; Aliquandostipitaceae.
CCGUGUAGUCAUAUGCUUGUCUCAAAGAUUAAGCCAUGCAAGUCUAAGUAUAAGCAACCUAUACUGUGAAACUGCGAAUGGCUCAUUAAAUCAGUUAUCGUUUAUUUGAUAGUACCUUACUACACGGAUAUCUGUGGUAAUUCUAGAGUUAAUACGUGCUAAAAACCCCGACUUCGGGAGGGGUGUAUUUAUUAGACAAAAAACCAAUGCCCUCCGGGGCUCCUUGGUGAUUCAUAAUAACUCAACGAAUCGCAUGGCCUUGCGCCGGCGAUGGUUCAUUCAAAUUUCUGCCCUAUCAACUUUCGAUGCUAGGGUAGUGGCCUAGCAUGGUUACAACGGGUAACGGGGAAUUAGGGUUCUAUUCCGGAGAGGGAGCCCGAGAAACGGCUACCACAUCCAAGGAAGGCAGCAGGCGCGCAAAUUACCCAAUCCCGACUCGGGGAGGUAGUGACAAUAAAUACUGAUACAGGGCUCUUUUGGGUCUUGUAAUUGGAAUGAGUACGAUUUAAACACCCUAACGAGGAACAAUUGGAGGGCAAGUCUGGUGCCAGCAGCCGCGGUAAUUCCAGCUCCAAUAGCGUAUAUUAAAGUUGUUGCAGUUAAAACGCUCGUCGUUGAACCUUGGGCCUGGGCGACCGGUCUCCCUCACCGGAUGCACUGGUUCGGCCGGGCCUUUCCUUCUGGGGAUCCGCAUGCCCUUCGCUGGGCGUGUCGGGGAACCAGGACUUUUACUUUGAAAAAAUUAGAGUGUUCAAAGCAGGCCUUUGCUCGAAUACCUUAGCAUGGAAUAAUAGAAUAGGACGUGCGGUCCUAUUUUGUUGGUUUCUAGGACCGCCGUAAUGAUUAAUAGGGUCAGUCGGGGGCAUCAGUAUUCAAUUGUCAGAGGUGAAAUUCUUAGAUUUAUUGAAGACUAACUACUGCGAAAGCAUUUGCCAAGGAUGUUUUCAUUAAUCAGUGAACGAAAGUUAGGGGAUCGAAGACGAUCAGAUACCGUCGUAGUCCUAACCAUAAACUAUGCCGACUAGGGAUCGGGCGAUGUUAUCAUUUUGACUCGCUCGGCACCUUACGAGAAAUCAAAGUGUUUGGGUUCUGGGGGGAGUAUGGUCGCAAGGCUGAACUUAAGGAUU